Molecule: ribosomal RNA, 2926 nt
Filed under: Escherichia coli
Lineage: Bacteria; Pseudomonadati; Pseudomonadota; Gammaproteobacteria; Enterobacterales; Enterobacteriaceae
Description: bacterial LSU rRNA
Rfam family: Bacterial large subunit ribosomal RNA
Source: RNAcentral
GGGUUGUGAGGUUAAGCGACUAAGCGUACACGGUGGAUGCCCUGGCAGUCAGAGGCGAUGAAGGACGUGCUAAUCUGCGAUAAGCGUCGGUAAGGUGAUAUGAACCGUUAUAACCGGCGAUUUCCGAAUGGGGAAACCCAGUGUGUUUCGACACACUAUCAUUAACUGAAUCCAUAGGUUAAUGAGGCGAACCGGGGGAACUGAAACAUCUAAGUACCCCGAGGAAAAGAAAUCAACCGAGAUUCCCCCAGUAGCGGCGAGCGAACGGGGAGCAGCCCAGAGCCUGAAUCAGUGUGUGUGUUAGUGGAAGCGUCUGGAAAGGCGCGCGAUACAGGGUGACAGCCCCGUACACAAAAAUGCACAUACUGUGAGCUCGAUGAGUAGGGCGGGACACGUGGUAUCCUGUCUGAAUAUGGGGGGACCAUCCUCCAAGGCUAAAUACUCCUGACUGACCGAUAGUGAACCAGUACCGUGAGGGAAAGGCGAAAAGAACCCCGGCGAGGGGAGUGAAAAAGAACCUGAAACCGUGUACGUACAAGCAGUGGGAGCCUCUUAAUGGGGUGACUGCGUACCUUUUGUAUAAUGGGUCAGCGACUUAUAUUCUGUAGCAAGGUUAACCGAAUAGGGGAGCCGAAGGGAAACCGAGUCUUAACUGGGCGUUAAGUUGCAGGGUAUAGACCCGAAACCCGGUGAUCUAGCCAUGGGCAGGUUGAAGGUUGGGUAACACUAACUGGAGGACCGAACCGACUAAUGUUGAAAAAUUAGCGGAUGACUUGUGGCUGGGGGUGAAAGGCCAAUCAAACCGGGAGAUAGCUGGUUCUCCCCGAAAGCUAUUUAGGUAGCGCCUCGUGAAUUCAUCUCCGGGGGUAGAGCACUGUUUCGGCAAGGGGGUCAUCCCGACUUACCAACCCGAUGCAAACUGCGAAUACCGGAGAAUGUUAUCACGGGAGACACACGGCGGGUGCUAACGUCCGUCGUGAAGAGGGAAACAACCCAGACCGCCAGCUAAGGUCCCAAAGUCAUGGUUAAGUGGGAAACGAUGUGGGAAGGCCCAGACAGCCAGGAUGUUGGCUUAGAAGCAGCCAUCAUUUAAAGAAAGCGUAAUAGCUCACUGGUCGAGUCGGCCUGCGCGGAAGAUGUAACGGGGCUAAACCAUGCACCGAAGCUGCGGCAGCGACGCUUAUGCGUUGUUGGGUAGGGGAGCGUUCUGUAAGCCUGUGAAGGUGUACUGUGAGGUAUGCUGGAGGUAUCAGAAGUGCGAAUGCUGACAUAAGUAACGAUAAAGCGGGUGAAAAGCCCGCUCGCCGGAAGACCAAGGGUUCCUGUCCAACGUUAAUCGGGGCAGGGUGAGUCGACCCCUAAGGCGAGGCCGAAAGGCGUAGUCGAUGGGAAACAGGUUAAUAUUCCUGUACUUGGUGUUACUGCGAAGGGGGGACGGAGAAGGCUAUGUUGGCCGGGCGACGGUUGUCCCGGUUUAAGCGUGUAGGCUGGUUUUCCAGGCAAAUCCGGAAAAUCAAGGCUGAGGCGUGAUGACGAGGCACUACGGUGCUGAAGCAACAAAUGCCCUGCUUCCAGGAAAAGCCUCUAAGCAUCAGGUAACAUCAAAUCGUACCCCAAACCGACACAGGUGGUCAGGUAGAGAAUACCAAGGCGCUUGAGAGAACUCGGGUGAAGGAACUAGGCAAAAUGGUGCCGUAACUUCGGGAGAAGGCACGCUGAUAUGUAGGUGAAGUCCCUCGCGGAUGGAGCUGAAAUCAGUCGAAGAUACCAGCUGGCUGCAACUGUUUAUUAAAAACACAGCACUGUGCAAACACGAAAGUGGACGUAUACGGUGUGACGCCUGCCCGGUGCCGGAAGGUUAAUUGAUGGGGUUAGCGGUAACGCGAAGCUCUUGAUCGAAGCCCCGGUAAACGGCGGCCGUAACUAUAACGGUCCUAAGGUAGCGAAAUUCCUUGUCGGGUAAGUUCCGACCUGCACGAAUGGCGUAAUGAUGGCCAGGCUGUCUCCACCCGAGACUCAGUGAAAUUGAACUCGCUGUGAAGAUGCAGUGUACCCGCGGCAAGACGGAAAGACCCCGUGAACCUUUACUAUAGCUUGACACUGAACAUUGAGCCUUGAUGUGUAGGAUAGGUGGGAGGCUUUGAAGUGUGGACGCCAGUCUGCAUGGAGCCGGCCUUGAAAUACCACCCUUUAAUGUUUGAUGUUCUAACGUUGGCCCCUGAUCGGGGUUGCGGACAGUGUCUGGUGGGUAGUUUGACUGGGGCGGUCUCCUCCUAAAGAGUAACGGAGGAGCACGAAGGUUGGCUAAUCCUGGUCGGACAUCAGGAGGUUAGUGCAAUGGCAUAAGCCAGCUUGACUGCGAGCGUGACGGCGCGAGCAGGUGCGAAAGCAGGUCAUAGUGAUCCGGUGGUUCUGAAUGGAAGGGCCAUCGCUCAACGGAUAAAAGGUACUCCGGGGAUAACAGGCUGAUACCGCCCAAGAGUUCAUAUCGACGGCGGUGUUUGGCACCUCGAUGUCGGCUCAUCACAUCCUGGGGCUGAAGUAGGUCCCAAGGGUAUGGCUGUUCGCCAUUUAAAGUGGUACGCGAGCUGGGUUUAGAACGUCGUGAGACAGUUCGGUCCCUAUCUGCCGUGGGCGCUGGAGAACUGAGGGGGGCUGCUCCUAGUACGAGAGGACCGGAGUGGACGCAUCACUGGUGUUCGGGUUGUCAUGCCAAUGGCACUGCCCGGUAGCUAAAUGCGGAAGAGAUAAGUGCUGAAAGCAUCUAAGCACGAAACUUGCCCCGAGAUGAGUUCUCCCUGACUCCUUGAGAGUCCUGAAGGAACGUUGAAGACGACGACGUUGAUAGGCCGGGUGUGUAAGCGCAGCGAUGCGUUGAGCUAACCGGUACUAAUGAACCGUGAGGCUUAACCUUACAACGCCGAAG